AACAACCACCACCCAUGACACAUUAUUGCCCACACCAUUCUCUUUCUCUCCCAACCGUGAAACUCUCACACUAACACUCUGACACCACCCCCACUUUCUUCAUUGUAACAUAAAAGUCUCUCCAUCUCAACUUACGAGUGAUCCUUGCAAUCUCAACCACCACCACUUAAAUUCAACACUUAAAGGUAUUCUACACACUUUUUCUCGAUCAAUUUAAUAGAAUUUGUGCUAAUGAUUGAUUUUGAAUAUUUUAGGGUUUAAAAUUAGGGUUUUUUAGGAAACAAAUAUGGAUUUUUAUGAAUUAGAUUUAAAUUAUAUUAAUUAGUUAUAAAAUACAUUAAUUGGAGCUAUUCAUUUCAUUAUUUGUGAAGAAAAUUGAUGAUUUUAGAUUGUUUUCAAUUGUGAAUUAAGGUUAGGGUUAAGGAUUUUAGGUUAAAUUAGAGAUUAUGUUAAAUUAGCUAUAAAACAUAUUAAUUAGAAGUGAAAUACAUCUAUUGAGUUUAUAAUUAGGUUAUUUAUUAAGAAAAUUGAUAAAUUUAGAUUUUCACCGAUUAUGUUAUCAUUAUUUAUGGUUUAGAUUAUAUAUCAAUUUUGUUGCAAGAACAACAUUGCUCAGAAGUUAUUUGGAAUAGAGAGGCCAAUUGACUUGACUUGUAUUAGAAAAAAACUAAAAUUUAUUCACACUUUUAUUGCAAAUUGCAUGAUUUUUAAGGCAGUAAUCUUAUGACACCUUGUUAGUAUGCUAUUAUGGAUUUACACAAGCAUGUUCGCUUAUGUUUUAUUUAUAUUUCUUUUAUGAGUUUAGCCAACUACAAGCCAUACAUCUUGACUAAAAAUUAAUUAUGGUGUUGGUUAAGCAAUGGAGGCGCGAGACCCACAUAUGUCCACCUCCAUGUUGGUGAGAUUGUACCCAUGUUGUUGUAGGAUGUCACCAUAUUAACUAGCCUUUGAAUAAACAAAACUGUAAUAACAAGAUGUGAAGGGUUGGUUGAUAUAGAUGAUUUAUGUGAAUGUCUACUAGGAUGCGUGCCUUGAACACUACUUAUAAAGGUGAUAACAUCAAACUAGUGUGGUUGGACACUAACUUGAAUUAAGACCUCGCAAGGAUGUGAUAAAGGAUUGGUUGGUUAUGUAUACUCGAGCAUAUAUUAUUCAUGUGUUUAAGGGCUUUAUAUUCACGAGUACUACAACCGAUAUAGUGUCGAUGCUCUUCCUUACACUACUUGGGGACUUUUAGGUCAUUCCUAACUAUAAAUGGAGGGUUAUGCUCACUUAUUUCUACCAUUAACUAUGUAUAUCAUGUAUGAAGAAGAGGACACAAAUAGACGGGUAUCAAUUAUUUCUCCAUGUAUAAUUAUUUUAAGUAUUUUCCAACAAAGAAUGUACUUUGUUUGGUAGAAUUAGUUCCAUUUUGAAACUUAAACCAUAAAUGUAAAUUAAUAUAGCUCUGGUCAUGGAAGCAUCUCCAUAUCAAACAUCUAGAGAGUUGGGGUACUAAUAUAUUUAACGCUAAUACCUAGAGAUAACUCUUUAUAGAAUCUAGGUAAUAACAUUUAAUAAAUUAUGAAUUACACAUAAUUUAUAUAAAUUAAUCCACCCUUCUAGGUUCUGUUUUAAAGGCUUUGUUUAUAGGAAGGGUAACUAGCAUAAGAACAUUUUGUAGCAUGGGUGCCAUCUUUCCAACACUUAGCUGGAAUGUGCGAGUCUCACGCCUUCAUUUCUUCACUAAUGCUCUAAUUAAUCCAUAAUCAAGAUAGAUGUCCCAAAGCAUGUUGAUCUCAUAAAAACUAGUCUCUAUAAUAUAUGAAUAAACAUGCUCAUUCAAAUCCAUCAUAAUAUGAUAGCAAGGUGUCAUUGGAUCAUCGUUCUAGAAAUAAAUUAAUUUAUACAUAAUUUUUAAAAUAAUUUUGAGUUUAAAUAUGAGUCAAUUAUAUUUUUAUACAAGCUAACUCUUUUAUAUCUAUUUCAAAUUUCCAUGGAGCAAUGCUAGUAGUAAAACCAAUAUAUCAUCGGAACCUAGAUGUAUGGUCAAGUGGUCCUGUCGUUGGCCACCAAUACCCGAUGCAUCUUUUCAAAUUGCACUAUGUAUGUCCUAUGAAUAUGUCAAAACAAGUUGUUAAUAUUGCACCAAAAAGGAACAUAAAUUUAUGUAUUAAGUAGAAAUAAAUGCAAAUGUUCACAUAUGUUGUAUAGUUUGACAUGUUUUCAUGUUAUGAUCAUUUUCACUGUAAGUACCAUAUUAAUUUUGUUUAUCCUUCUUUAGCAUCCAUCUUAUUAUAUAGAUAAUAGGUCUUCUUGGACCCUUUUUUCAUUCUUUAUUUAGUUCGACAUCUAUGUAUUAUUGACCUAGUAUAUUCAGGUAAUAAUAGUGUGUUAAGUGAGGGUAAAAAAAUAGGAGUGAAUGUAUUUUUAUAGUUUUUGUUAGAAAAGAAAAGAUUCAUAAAUUGUUAUUGGUCAACAUUUCAUGGGGUAUAACAUGUAAUGAG
Molecule: long non-coding RNA, 2486 nt
Filed under: Populus tremula
Lineage: Eukaryota; Viridiplantae; Streptophyta; Magnoliopsida; Malpighiales; Salicaceae
Description: long non-coding RNA (PTRE_LNC001824)
Source: RNAcentral